GGCGAACGCUGGCGGCGUGCUUAACACAUGCAAGUCGAACGGAAAGGCCCUGCUUUUGUGGGGUGCUCGAGUGGCGAACGGGUGAGUAACACGUGAGUAACCUGCCCUUGACUUUGGGAUAACUUCAGGAAACUGGGGCUAAUACCGGAUAGGAGCUCCUGCUGCAUGGUGGGGGUUGGAAAGUUUCGGCGGUUGGGGAUGGACUCGCGGCUUAUCAGCUUGUUGGUGGGGUAGUGGCUUACCAAGGCUUUGACGGGUAGCCGGCCUGAGAGGGUGACCGGCCACAUUGGGACUGAGGUACGGCCCAGAAUCCUACGGGAGGCAGCAGUGGGGAAUAUUGCACAAUGGGCGGAAGCCUGAUGCAGCAACGCCGCGUGCGGGAUGACGGCCUUCGGGUUGUAAACCGCUUUCGCCUGUGACGAAGCGUGAGUGACGGUAAUGGGUAAAGAAGCGCCGGCUAACUACGUG
RNAcentral lists this ribosomal RNA (468 nucleotides) under uncultured bacterium. RNAcentral's name for it is "partial 16S ribosomal RNA". It matches the Rfam family "Bacterial small subunit ribosomal RNA", at positions 28 to 507 of the family's 1533-position model. The record is from RNAcentral.